GUUCCCUCAGAUGUUUCUCUUAGAUGUUCCUGGUGCAUGCCAUCUCUCUCCUCCUUUAUAGUCCUCUUCCACCAAUCCCAACUCUGCUACCCACACGCUGAGUACUCUGCUCUCCUCCAAUCAGGAGCAGGUCCCACAGUUUAUUGGUUGAACUGGAGGCAGCUGUGUAGAAGCCUCUUUCUUCUCUCCCAGCGCCAUAUUGUGGGAGAGCAGAUGCAUAGAAUAAGUCUUAAUUCCAGUAACUUAGUCUAGUCUGAGUUGCUCCCAGUUGCUCCCCACAGAACUCUGCAAUCAAUGCACAACCAUUCUUAAGCGUUUAAAAAUUAACAGGAAAUUGAUCUCUGUGGAACAUGGGAGUGGGAAUAAGAGAGGGAGGAGAUAUAUAGGACGGCACAUACUCACUCAGACCUACCUCCAAUGGUGGAACUGGAAAUGUGCCAGGGGAUGUCAAGUCAAUCUUACCAAGGAGGCAGGUACCAAUGCCAGCACACUUGGUAAAGUGACAAAUAUAAAUACACAACUGAUCAAAAAGAUAGGGUAAGUGUCGAAGAGAUUACACAAAUAAGACCAGUGUAAGCAAAUAAUGAAGGAUAGAAUCAAAAGGGUUGAGAAUGAUCCUGCGGAGGAAGCAGGACACACAGCAGACUCAUAGAAUGGCAAAUGCCCAAAACAGCACUCCUGCCUCAGAAUCAACCCUUGGGACAUUCGGAUCUGACUAAAAGGUCCAUGAGAGUCUCGCAGGCAUGGAAAGCCAUGACACGGUGGCAAAAAAACAAUCUAAAUGAAGGAUCCUGGUGAACAACACCCCAGCAGAAGGAUCAGGCCAUCAAGGAGAGAGGCGCCUUUCUCUGAAGGGAGGAAGGAACCUCCACUGUGAUAUGGCCUGGACUAAACAAAUUCAGAGUUGAUGAACUCAAGGGGCUUCCAUAGCCUAGACAGCUCAUAGCAAGAGUCUCGGGUAAUUGCUGACGUCAUAAACAAGAGUGCCAAUUGUUAAAUCAACAACGGGAGUCACUGGGUUCAUGCUCCCCACGCAGGAUCUCUGUCCUUAAUAUGUUUAUCUAUGAAAUUCAAAAACAACACUACUAGUUGAACAAUACCCUAUACCUGGUUCGGUUGUGUGAGUGCAACCUGUUGAAAUUCCUGCUUAGUAUAUACUAAAUUGAUCUUCGGUAUAUGAAGCUGUUUGCAUAAAGGAUUUCAUCUUACAGGAUACUUUUAGGAUCAAAAGACAGACAAUGAGCUCAGACAUAUAAACCUUUACAACUAAGGAGGAAAGAGCAAAACUGAAAGAAGCAAAUUGUUAACCAGGAAGAACACUGGAAUAGGAUCACAGGAUCAUGUCUAUAAAGAAGAGUGCUUUGUUUGCGGUACCUGAGCAAUUGAGGACAUCAUGAAGUAGCUGCAUAAACCACUAUGAAUUUCCAAGACUCCCCAAAAUGAAUGUCAACUCUUUUCUAUAAAGAAAUAAACCUAUAUUAAUGACAAACAAAAAUAAAAUGCCCAUCUGCUUCUUUCAUCCCACACUUUUUUGUCCUUCAUCUACUCCUUUCUUUGCUGACCUAUUGGCCACCUAUAACCUGUUCCUUUCUACAGAAUAUUUAACUGAGAUAAAAAUUGUGCUAUGAGUAGUAUAACUCAAUUUUGGUUAUAUUCUUUAUGUUAAAAAGAGUUGAACAAAAGUAAUUGGAGGCGUGGCCAACUCUUGUACUUUAGGUACUAAGUGGGAUACUGGUAAUGUCACUAGUAGUAAUUUCCUGGAUAUAAAGACAGAAUGCUGGGCAUCUCUAUGCCUUGCUGGUUAGUGACAAACAUAACUCUGCUUUUGCAUACUACCUUUUCGUGCUUACACCAUGUGGCCUCCUUAGGGUGAGAAAAGUUAAGUCUUUUUCUCAACUAAAACUUUUGCAGAAAGCUGUUGUAUGAGAAAUAUCUAUGGAACUGCCUAGCCUAAAGGCAGGUGUUACAGAACUCUGCUUGCUAAUGAAAGCAAGAAAGAAGCAUGCUAUGUUUCUUAUCACAACUUUAAAGGCAUAAUUCUUCAACAUUUCUUGAUACUAUAGCAGUAUAUUUUGAUGGUAUCUGAGAGUUGCUCAGAGAAUUUCAAAGUAGUUUUAAAUUUCCUUUGCCACAAACAGCUUGUCAAAGACUGCUGAAUGACAAUGAAAAUCUGAAAACAAACACUCUUGGUGAAUACAAAAAGCUUACCAAUGUGGAACAGCGUUCAAAACACAAAAUCCAGCAUUUCUUGGUGAGAUAAUAUACUUUCUGCUAUUUUACUCUGCUCAGUCAUUCUCUUGAUGCAUUAUUUUCAUCUGCCUACAUGUACUCAAAUUCCACUGGAUUCCAUUUUUAAAGAUAAAUUAAGAUAAAAUCUGGCAAUUGAGGAAUGAUAACUUAUAUAAAAUAAAAUUGUGCAAAUCUAGUUUAAAAAUAUUUUACUUAUGUAUUUGAGAGACAGAUAUAUACAGACACAAAAUUCUCACCUUUUAGUUCAUUUCUAAAUUCCCACAAUGGCCAGGACUGGACCGACUGAAGAAGGGAGCUAGGAACUCAAAUCAUGUCUCCCACGUGACAGGUAGGAAUCCAAUUACUUGAUUCAUCAUUGUUGCCUACCAUCGUCUGCAGUAGCAAGAAGCUGGAGGCAAGAGCUGCAGUGGAAAAUCAAACCAGAGGUACUCAAAUAAAAAUGUCAUGGUCUCAAAGGGUCUCAACCACUAGGCUAGCUGACCACUCCAUGCAAGCCUAUUUUAAAAGGGAAAAAUUUAUAUUCAACUUAAAGCAAAUACUUUUUACUUGAAAACUAUCUUGACUUUUGUAUUCCAUGUAUUUAUAGGAAACAGACUACACAUUGAGUAAUAAAAACAAGCUACAGCCGGCGCCGCGGCUCAAUAGGCUAAUCCUCCUCCUAGUGGUGCCGGCAUACUGGGUUCCAGUCCUGGUUGGGGCGCCGGAUUCUGUCCCGGUUGCCCCUCUUCCAGGCCAGCCCUCUGUUGUGGCCAGGGAGUGCAGUGGAGGAUGGCCCAAGUGCUUGAGCCCUGCACCCCAUGGGAGACCAGGAGAAGCACCUGGCUCCUGCCUUCAGGUGAGUGCGGUACGCCAGCCACGGCAGCCAUUGGAGGGUGAACCAAUGGCAAAGUAAGACCUUUCUCUCUGUCUCUCUCUCUCACUGUCCACUCUGCCUGUAAAAAACAAACAAACAAACAAACAAAAAAACAAAAAAAACAAGCUACACUAAUAUUUUCAUUUCAUUCAUGUAAGUGCUCAGAGCAUUUGACAUUUAUUCUAAAUAAUCACCUUAACAAUCAGAUGACAUACAAAAACAUUGCCACACAUUUUUAAACAUCAUGAAGAUAAAAUGCAGGCAAAUUGAAUUUGUAAUAUAUGAUAAGGAAUUAGUUUAUAAUAUAUGCUAAGGAAUUAGUUGAUAAAAGCUAAGACUUAAAUGACUCCAGUUGAAUUAAUCAACUAAGGAUAAAAAUAGA
Non-coding RNA from Oryctolagus cuniculus (rabbit), 3485 nucleotides. Lineage: Eukaryota; Metazoa; Chordata; Mammalia; Lagomorpha; Leporidae. The record is from RefSeq and is a predicted model, not a curated record.